Long non-coding RNA from Xenia sp. Carnegie-2017, 340 nucleotides. RefSeq lists it as uncharacterized. Lineage: Eukaryota; Metazoa; Cnidaria; Anthozoa; Malacalcyonacea; Xeniidae. The transcript has 2 exons. The record is from RefSeq and is a predicted model, not a curated record.
CAACUAUAGAUACAUACCAGAUGGAUAAAGACAAAAUGGCAAUGGUACAAAUUUAGUGAUGAAAUGGAUGAAGUUUUCCUGGAUAUUUUUUCCCAUGAGGAAACAUGUGUUCUAAGAUAAAACAAUGGCCAAGUGCUAAAGGACAAAGGAGACUACUUAUAAAGAACAUAAUGCAAUUUUAAACAAAUACUUUUGGCAACAGAUAGAUCUAUGAGGUCUACAUAAUUCCCUGCAGACAUAAAAUGAACAAUAAUUCUGGUGUUUAAUUCUAGAUAUAUACGUAUAUAUAUAUAUAUAUACUGAGUUCAUUCAUCCAUAUUAAUAAAUGAUUAUUCUCUUA